This 305-nucleotide ribosomal RNA is filed under the name uncultured bacterium. RNAcentral's name for it is "bacterial SSU rRNA". It matches the Rfam family "Bacterial small subunit ribosomal RNA", at positions 335 to 639 of the family's 1533-position model. The record is from RNAcentral.
AGCCUACGGGAGGCAGCAGUGAGGAAUAUUGGUCAAUGGCCGAGAGGCUGAACCAGCCAAGUCGCGUGAGGGAAGAAUGUCCUAAGGAUUGUAAACCUCUUUUGUCGGGGAGCAAAAAGGCUCUGCGGAGUCGUAUUGAGAGUACCCGAAGAAAAAGCAUCGGCUAACUCCGUGCCAGCAGCCGCGGUAAUACGGAGGAUGCGAGCGUUAUCCGGAUUUAUUGGGUUUAAAGGGUGCGUAGGCGGAAUGCCAAGUCAGCGGUAAAAUCGCGGGGCUCAACCUCGCUCCGCCGUUGAAACUGGCGU